This 425-nucleotide ribosomal RNA is filed under the name uncultured bacterium. Its description in RNAcentral is "partial 16S ribosomal RNA". It matches the Rfam family "Bacterial small subunit ribosomal RNA", at positions 354 to 796 of the family's 1533-position model. The record is from RNAcentral.
GUGGGGAAUCUUGCGCAAUGGGCGAAAGCCUGACGCAGCCAUGCCGCGUGAAUGAUGAAGGUCUUAGGAUUGUAAAAUUCUUUCACCGGGGACGAUAAUGACGGUACCCGGAGAAGAAGCUCCGGCUAACUUCGUGCCAGCAGCCGCGGUAAUACGAAGGGGGCUAGCGUUGCUCGGAAUUACUGGGCGUAAAGGGCGCGUAGGCGGACAGCUUAGUCAGAGGUGAAAGCCCAGGGCUCAACCUUGGAAUUGCCUUUGAUACUGGCUGUCUUGAGUUUGGGAGAGGUGAGUGGAACUCCGAGUGUAGAGGUGAAAUUCGUAGAUAUUCGGAGGAACACCAGUGGCGAAGGCGGCUCACUGGUCCAUUACUGACGCUGAGGUGCGAAAGCGUGGGGAGCAAACAGGAUUAGAAACCCGUGUAGUCC